Molecule: ribosomal RNA, 210 nt
Filed under: Escherichia coli
Lineage: Bacteria; Pseudomonadati; Pseudomonadota; Gammaproteobacteria; Enterobacterales; Enterobacteriaceae
Description: partial 16S ribosomal RNA
Rfam family: Bacterial small subunit ribosomal RNA
Source: RNAcentral
AAAUUGAAGAGUUUGAUCAUGGCUCAGAUUGAACGCUGGCGGCAGGCCUAACACAUGCAAGUCGAACGGUAACAGGAAGAAGCUUGCUUCUUUGCUGACGAGUGGCGGACGGGUGAGUAAUGUCUGGGAAACUACCUGAUGGAGGGGGAUAACUACUGGAAACGGUAGCUAAUACCGCAUAACGUCGCAAGACCAAAGAGGGGGACCUUC